This 161-nucleotide small nuclear RNA is filed under the name Triticum dicoccoides. RNAcentral describes it as "snRNA U1". It matches the Rfam family "U1 spliceosomal RNA". From Rfam's summary of the family: U1 is a small nuclear RNA (snRNA) component of the spliceosome (involved in pre-mRNA splicing). Lineage: Eukaryota; Viridiplantae; Streptophyta; Magnoliopsida; Poales; Poaceae. The record is from RNAcentral.
AUACUUACCUGGACGGGGUUUAUGGCCGAUCAAGAAGGCUCAUGACCUAGGCUAGUGGUCAACAUUGCACUUGGUUGAUGCGCCGGCUUAUUAUCUCCCCAAGUGGGAGAAUGAAUGUCAUAAUUUGUGAUAGAGGGGGUACGCGAUCGUGCGGCCCCUGU